CCCAGGAACCGCUGUGGCACCCACAUAACCCUCUGGCUGGUCGGCGCUCACCCUCGCCCAGAGGAUGGCGUCGUGACCAGGCAGGUGUGUGCAUCCUAUACUAGUAGUUGCUGCCAAUACAAUCAACCAUCCAUCCAGGUUAAAGCGUGUCCUGGAAACUACACUGUUUACAACCCGGUGGAUCCUGUGCACUGUCAUUCGGCGUACUGUACAGAUUUAAGUGACAAAGGAGCCCUUCCAACUAAACGUCCUGAUCCAAGUCAUGUUGUUGGUCUGCUGAUGAAGGUCUCUGCCGUUGAGAAUUUGAAUGAAACUGAGAUUGAGGAGCAGAUACUGAAGCCAUUUGGAGAAGCCCUGAGAGCACAAGGAGUAAAUGUAACUGGGAUCCGGUUGAGAGCAGUUCAUCAGAUUGGACCUUAGGGGAACAGAGGAGGAGUGUGAAGCACGAUGCUGGACACUCACCCACUGCAGAGAAGAUAUGGAGACGUAAAAAGGAGAUUAUUCUGUGUGUGAUGGCUAAUCUGUUUACCUAAACAUGAGAUUACAUUAUUAUUCUGUGUGUGAUGGCUAAUCUGUUUUCCUAAACAUGAAACCGCAUUAUGUGAGUGAUGGCUAAAAGUCUUUGAAAUCUUUUUUUCUAGACAGCAUUAUGACUGUACUGUAUAUGUGAUGGCUAGAAAUCUGUCUCCCUUAACAUCAGACUGCAUUAUGUGUAACAUCUUUAAAAAAAAGAUAUGUUUUCCUAAACAUAAGUCUGCAUUAUUUGUGAUGGCGGAGCAUUAUGAUUGUGUGUGAUGGAAGAAAAUCUAUUUUCCUCAACGUGAGACAGCGUUAUGACUGUAGUC
Long non-coding RNA from Sardina pilchardus (European sardine), 845 nucleotides. RefSeq lists it as uncharacterized. The record is from RefSeq and is a predicted model, not a curated record. NCBI's taxonomy places the organism in Eukaryota, Metazoa, Chordata, Actinopteri, Clupeiformes, Clupeidae. The transcript is spliced from 4 exons.